RNAcentral lists this transfer RNA (92 nucleotides) under Metalysinibacillus saudimassiliensis. RNAcentral's name for it is "tRNA-Ser". It matches the Rfam family "tRNA". Rfam says of the family: Transfer RNA (tRNA) molecules are approximately 80 nucleotides in length. Their secondary structure includes four short double-helical elements and three loops (D, anti-codon, and T loops). Further hydrogen bonds mediate the characteristic L-shaped molecular structure. tRNAs have two regions of fundamental functional importance: the anti-codon, which is responsible for specific mRNA codon recognition, and the 3' end, to which the tRNAs corresponding amino acid is attached (by aminoacyl-tRNA synthetases). tRNAs cope with the degeneracy of the genetic code in two manners: having more than one tRNA (with a specific anti-codon) for a particular amino acid; and 'wobble' base-pairing, i.e. permitting non-standard base-pairing at the 3rd anti-codon position. Lineage: Bacteria; Bacillati; Bacillota; Bacilli; Caryophanales; Caryophanaceae. RNAcentral also lists the same sequence under 1 other name. The record is from RNAcentral.
GGAGAGCUGUCCGAGUGGCCUAAGGAGCAUGAUUGGAAAUCAUGUAGACGACGCAAGUUGUCUCAAGGGUUCAAAUCCCUUGCUCUCCGCCA